Molecule: ribosomal RNA, 1227 nt
Filed under: Psychrobacter sp. m100608b
Lineage: Bacteria; Pseudomonadati; Pseudomonadota; Gammaproteobacteria; Moraxellales; Moraxellaceae
Description: bacterial SSU rRNA
Rfam family: Bacterial small subunit ribosomal RNA
Source: RNAcentral
AGCGGCGGACGGGUGAGUAAUACUUAGGAAUCUGCCCAGUAGUGGGGGAUAGCUCGGGGAAACUCGAAUUAAUACCGCAUACACCCUACGGGGAAAAGGGGGCGCUUGCGCUCUCGCUAUUGGAUGAGCCUAAGUCGGAUUAGCUAGUUGGUGGGGUAAAGGCCUACCAAGGCGACGAUCUGUAGCUGGUCUGAGAGGAUGAUCCAGCCGGGACUGAGACACGGCCCGGACUCUCUACGGGAGGGCAGCAGUGGGAUUUGGAUGGGGGCACCCUGAUCCAGCCAUGCCGCGUGUGUGAGAAGGCCUUUUGGUUGUAAAGCACUUUAAGCAGUGAAGAAGACUCUAUGGUUAAUACCCAUAGACGAUGACAUUAGCUGCAGAAUAAGCACCGGCUAACUCUGUGCCAGCAGCCGCGGUAAUACAGAGGGUGCAAGCGUUAAUCGGAAUUACUGGGCGUAAAGCGAGCGUAGGUGGCUUAAUAAGUCAGAUGUGAAAUCCCCGGGCUUAACCUGGGAACUGCAUCUGAUACUGUUAGGCUAGAGUAGGUGAAAGAGGGAGGUAGGAAUUUCAAGGUUGUAGCGGGUGAAAUGCGUAGAGAUCUGAAGGAAUACCGAUGGCGAAGGCAGCCUCCUGGCAUCAUACUGACACUGAGGUUCGAAAGCGUGGGUAGCAAACAGGAUUAGAUACCCUGAUAGUCACGCGUAAAACGAUGUCUACUAGUCGUUGGGGAACUUGAUUCCUUAGUGACGCAGCUAACGCAAUAAGUAGACCGCCUGGGGAGUACGGCCGCAAGGUUAAAACUCAAAUGAAUUGACGGGGGCCCGCACAAGCGGUGGAGCAUGUGGUUUAAUUCGAUGCAACGCGAAGAACCUUACCUGGUCUUGACAUAUCUAGAAUCCUGCAGAGAUGCGGGAGUGCCUUCGGGAAUUAGAAUACAGGUGCUGCAUGGCUGUCGUCAGCUCGUGUCGUGAGAUGUUGGGUUAAGUCCCGCAACGAGCGCAACCCUUUUCCUUAGUUACCAGCGGUUAGGCCGGGGACUCUAAGGAUACUGCCAGUGACAAACUGGAGGAAGGCGGGGACGACGUCAAGUCAUCAUGGCCCUUACGACCAGGGCUACACACGUGCUACAAUGGUAGGUACAGAGGGCUGCUACACAGCGAUGUGAUGCGAAUCUCAAAAAGCCUAUCGUAGUCCAGAUUGGAGUCUGCAACUCGACUCCAUGAAGUC